This 72-nucleotide transfer RNA is filed under the name Stegodyphus mimosarum. It matches the Rfam family "tRNA". From Rfam's summary of the family: Transfer RNA (tRNA) molecules are approximately 80 nucleotides in length. Lineage: Eukaryota; Metazoa; Arthropoda; Arachnida; Araneae; Eresidae. The record is from Rfam by way of RNAcentral.
GCCUUCAUGGUGUAUUGGAUACACGUUCGGCUAGCAAUCGAGAUGUCUGGAGUUCGAUUCCUAGUGAGAGCG